Molecule: long non-coding RNA, 1564 nt
Filed under: Anser cygnoides (Swan goose)
Lineage: Eukaryota; Metazoa; Chordata; Aves; Anseriformes; Anatidae
Description: lncRNA (ENSACDG00005017940.1)
Source: RNAcentral
AGAACAACAGGGAGCUCCAGGAGAGGCUGGAACAGCAAGAGCAUCAGCUGAAGGAGGCUCAGAGGAGCAGGAGCAACCUCCAGUCGCAGAUCUGGAACGCGUUGUCAGAGAUCCAGUCCAUACGGAGCUGGCGUUCGAGUGGGACCAGCGUGACGUUCCCUGGCGUGGCCGUGCCCCUCGUCCUCCUGGCUCUGCUCUUCGCAGGGACGCUGCUGCUUUGAGCACGGAGCUGGGAGAGCAUGGACCUGGCUUGUCGCCGUCCCCUUCCGCCCCCGCGGGGCAAGGAGGGACGGUUCCCAUCCUGCUGGGAUGGGGCUGGUGCUGGCAGCUCACGCAGUGCCUGGGUCGGGAGCUCCCACCAUGAGGACGUCGCGUGGGGACAUCCUGGGGGGACAUUCUGCAAAAUGCUCGCCCCUGAGCUAUGGCCAGGGCGAGAUGGGGAUGGGGCAAAGGCAGGGGACAGAGACCUGGCACUGCCCCGGGGCUGCCUUUAAGCAAGGGGUUCGCAGCUACUGUGCAGUUAGGUGGGUUUGAGCCAUUUUCCAAUAAAACUUCAUGAAAACCCGAAGUGUUUUGUUGCUCCAGCAUCAGGACAGCCUCCCCGGCACGGCUUGGGUUUGUCCCAGCCGAUUUUACCCACGGCCGGGGCCGAGCAUCCUCCCACGCACUGCACAAACCAAGCCUGCUAUGGGCUGUGACCUGCAAGAAACCACAGCCCAAAGCGGCGCUGGGCGAGAAAACCCGCAGGCAGCACCCAGAGCAACCCGGGCACACCCCGGGCAGCCACGAGCGUCCCCGUCCCCCUCCCCGGCAUGGACCCCGCGGUGCCCAAAGCCACGCUGAAGGUGCUGGGGCUGUGCGUGGCGCUGCUGGUGCUGGUGGCGGCGGUGACAGUCUCGGUGGCCGUGCUGCUGUGGCGCUCGGAGGCUCUGGGGAUGCUGCGGGGCUGCCGGGAGCGGGCGGCCAACGAGAGCCGGGUGCUGGAGCUGCGCCUGGCCGAGCUGGAGCAGGAUCGUGCCCGGCUGCAGCACGCCGCGGCCGAGAGCGCGCGGGCAGAGGAUGCUCGGCGCCGGGAGCUGGCCCAAGCACGCGAGGAGGGCGAGAAGCUCAAUUCCAGCUUGGCGUCCUGCCGGGAGCGGGCGGCCAGGCUGGAGGCCAACGCGACGGCGCUGCGGGACGAGGUGCUGGCGCUGCGGCGCGAGCGGGCUGAGCUGGCCCGCAGGAACGCGGCUCUGCAAGAGGAGCUGGCACAGGGCGCAGAGCAGGCGAAGGGGCUGCGGCAGCGGCUGGAGGAGGCGGAGGAGCAGCGGCGAGCGCUGCGGGCACGCGGGGAGAAGUGUGAGGCUCGGCAGAAAGAGCUCGAGAAAACCCUGAGGGACUACGCGGCCGAGGCGGAGGCGCUGCGACGGCGGCGGGUGGGGUCCCGCACGGCCAGGCGCAGGAAGGGCUGAAGCCCCCGCAGCAUCCUUCCUGCCCCCCCCUUUUACCAGCACACCGACCACGCUUGGGUACGGCACCGCCACCGCGCCAGCACGGCUGCGGCCCCCCCCCCCCCCCCCCCUGC